AUUGAACGCUGGCGGCAGGCCUAACACAUGCAAGUCGAGCGAGCGGCGGACGGGUGAGUAAUGUAUGGGGACUGCCCGAUAGAGGGGGAUAACUACUGGAAACGGUGGAUAAUACCGCAUACUAUCGGAUAACCCAUAUGGGAUUAGCUAGUAGGUGGGGUAAAGGCUCACCUAGGCGACGAUCUCUAGCUGGUCUGAGAGGAUGAUCAGCCAAACUGUGAGUGAGACACGGCCCAAAUUCCUACGGAGGCAGCAGUGGGAAAUUUUGCACAAUGUGCGUAAGCCUGAUGAAGCCAUGCCGCUUGUAUGAAGAAGGCCUUAGGGUUGUAAAGUACUUUCAGCGGGGAGGCGUUACCCGCAGAAGAAGCACCGGCUAACUCCGUGCCAGCCGCCGCGGUAAUAC
This 403-nucleotide ribosomal RNA is filed under the name uncultured bacterium. Its description in RNAcentral is "partial 16S ribosomal RNA". It matches the Rfam family "Bacterial small subunit ribosomal RNA", at positions 30 to 526 of the family's 1533-position model. The record is from RNAcentral.